This 254-nucleotide ribosomal RNA is filed under the name uncultured bacterium. RNAcentral describes it as "partial 16S ribosomal RNA". It matches the Rfam family "Bacterial small subunit ribosomal RNA", at positions 524 to 775 of the family's 1533-position model. The record is from RNAcentral.
UACAGGGGUGGCAAACAGUUGCUCGGAAUUAUUGGGUCGUAAAGCGCGCGUAGGCGGCUACUUAAGUCGGAUGUGAAAGCCCUUGGCUCAACUGAGGAAGUGCACCCGAAACUGAGUGGCUUGAGUACUAAAGAGGGUCGCGGAAUUCCCGGUGUAGAGGUGAAAUUCGUAGAUAUCGGGAGGAACACCGGUGGCGAAGGCGGCGACCUGGGUAGAUACUGACGCUGAGGCGCGAAAGCGUGGGGAGCAACAGG